This 238-nucleotide ribosomal RNA is filed under the name Escherichia coli. RNAcentral describes it as "partial 23S ribosomal RNA". It matches the Rfam family "Bacterial large subunit ribosomal RNA", at positions 1419 to 1659 of the family's 2925-position model. Lineage: Bacteria; Pseudomonadati; Pseudomonadota; Gammaproteobacteria; Enterobacterales; Enterobacteriaceae. The record is from RNAcentral.
UGGGAAACAGGUUAAUAUUCCUGUACUUGGUGUUACUGCGAAGGGGGGACGGAGAAGGCUAUGUUGGCCGGGCGACGGUUGUCCCGGUUUAAGCGUGUAGGCUGGUUUUCCAGGCAAAUCCGGAAAACUAAGGCUGAGGCGUGAUGACGAGGCACUACGGUGCUGAAGCAACAAAUGCCCUGCUUCCAGGAAAAGCCUCUAAGCAUCAGGUAACAUCAAAUCGUACCCCAAACCGACA